UGCAGUCGAGCGCCCCGCAAGGGGAGCGGCAGACGGGUGAGUAACGCGUGGGAACGUACCCUUUACUACGGAAUAACGCAGGGAAACUUGUGCUAAUACCGUAUGUGCCCUUUGGGGGAAAGAUUUAUCGGUAAAGGAUCGGCCCGCGUUGGAUUAGCUAGUUGGUGGGGUAAAGGCCUACCAAGGCGACGAUCCAUAGCUGGUCUGAGAGGAUGAUCAGCCACAUUGGGACUGAGACACGGCCCAAACUCCUACGGGAGGCAGCAGUGGGGAAUAUUGGACAAUGGGCGCAAGCCUGAUCCAGCCAUGCCGCGUGAGUGAUGAAGGCCCUAGGGUUGUAAAGCUCUUUCACCGGAGAAGAUAAUGACGGUAUCCGGAGAAGAAGCCCCGGCUAACUUCGUGCCAGCAGCCGCGGUAAUACGAAGGGGGCUAGCGUUGUUCGGAAUUACUGGGCGUAAAGCGCACGUAGGCGGAUCGAUCAGUCAGGGGUGAAAUCCCAGGGCUCAACCCUGGAACUGCCUUUGAUACUGUCGAUCUGGAGUAUGGAAGAGGUGAGUGGAAUUCCGAGUGUAGAGGUGAAAUUCGUAGAUAUUCGGAGGACACCAGUGGCGAAGGCGGCUCACUGGUCCAUUACUGACGCUGAGGUGCGAAAGCGUGGGGAGCAAACAGGAUUA
RNAcentral lists this ribosomal RNA (674 nucleotides) under uncultured bacterium. Its description in RNAcentral is "bacterial SSU rRNA". It matches the Rfam family "Bacterial small subunit ribosomal RNA", at positions 56 to 780 of the family's 1533-position model. The record is from RNAcentral.